RNAcentral lists this long non-coding RNA (269 nucleotides) under Lathyrus oleraceus (garden pea). RNAcentral's name for it is "Pisum sativum (pea) long non-coding RNA (PSAT_LNC023511)". Lineage: Eukaryota; Viridiplantae; Streptophyta; Magnoliopsida; Fabales; Fabaceae. The record is from RNAcentral.
UCAUCGAUCCGACAUCAAACUCUGAGGAGCAGCCGCUUCUGUUGGGAAGAUACAGUCUGGCAUUGUCAACUCCGUUGGGGAUAUACAGUCUGGCACUGUCAAUUCUACUAGGGAGUGUAUAAUCUGAAACAACAUGCUUGGGGGAGUACAGUAGUGAGAAACUGCUGAGGAUUGAAGAAUCCAAUGCUCGGACCAGCUCUGUAGGGAUAAGGUACCAAAUACCAACUAUUGAAGCAAGACAUCCGCGAUCAUCUGCUGGGAACCUCAAG